RNAcentral lists this ribosomal RNA (357 nucleotides) under uncultured Glomeromycotina. RNAcentral describes it as "SSU rRNA". It matches the Rfam family "Eukaryotic small subunit ribosomal RNA", at positions 569 to 931 of the family's 1831-position model. Lineage: Eukaryota; Fungi; Glomeromycota. The record is from RNAcentral.
AGCAGCCGCGGUAAUUCCAGCUCCAAUAGCGUAUAUUAAAGUUGUUGCAGUUAAAAGCUCGUAGUUGAAUUUCGGGGUUAGUAGGUCGGUCGUGCCACAGGUACGUACUGGUCUCACUGAUUCCUCCUUCCUGAUGAACCGUAAUGCCAUUAAUUUGGUGUUGCGGGGAAACUGGACUGUUACUUUAGAAAAAUUAGAGUGUUUAAAGCAGGCUAACGCUUGAAUACAUUAGCAUGGAAUAAUGAAAUAGGACGUUCGAUCCUAUUUUGUUGGUUUCUAGGAUUGACGUAAUGAUUAAUAGGGAUAGUUGGGGGCAUUAGUAUUCAAUUGUCAGAGGUGAAAUUCUUGGAUUUAUUG